AACCAAACAUCCUCCUCGUCGUCGGCCGUGUCAUUGGCGGCGCCGGCGCCGGCGCCCCAGGAGUUCUCGACGCCGCCGGGGAGGCGGGGAGCUCGUCGUCUUCUCUCCUCCUCCUUUCUCCGUCCCCCGACCCCCGACCACCGCCACCCUUCCAUCCUCGUCAGCGCCCUCUUUGCAGUGCCGGGCCCCUUCGGCAUCCGCUGCCGACCCCGCGACCCGAGCACAUCCGCCGGCGGCGCCUCUCCGCCACCUAUCUCCGACUACUCAGUUCACGCUGGUUGCGCUUGCGCACAUCCUGACUAAGGGCACCUGAUAGGGCAACAGUGAUUAGUUCCGUGGAAAAGGACUUUUGGAUACGGUUUAGCUAAAAUGGCAAACAUGAACAUAACCACCAUCUUGGAGAAGAUGACAGGGAAAGAUAAGGACUACAGAUAUAUGGCAACUUCAAAUUUGCUUAGCGAUUGAACAAAGAGGGCUUCAAAGCUGACCAAGACAUUGAGCCAAAGUUGACUACUACCGUUCUUCAACAACUGGAAGAUACUUCAGGAGAAGUCUCUGGUUUAGCUGUUAAAUGCUUGGCUCCACUUGUCAAGAAGGUUGGUGAGGAUAGUGUGGUGGAGAUGACCAACAUUCUUUGUGAUAAGUUACUCAAUGGAAAGGACCAACAUCGAGACACUGCUAGUAUUGCUCUGAAGACAAUCAUUGCGGAAGUUACGACAACAACACUUGCUGAAAAGAUUUUGGUGUCUCUUGCCCCACAGCUAAUCAAGGGCGCCACUGCUGGAAAAAGUGCGGAAGUGAAAUGCGAGUGCCUUGAUAUAUUGGGGGAUGUACUUCAUAGAUUUGGCAACUUGAUCACAAAAGAUCAUGAUUGCAUGCUGACUGCCUUGUUAUCCCAGUUGAGCUCUAACCAAGCAAGUGUUAGGAAAAAGUCUAUUUCUUGCAUUGCAUCACUUGCUGCAUGUCUGUCUGAUGAUUUAUUAGCCAAGGCAACUUUUGAGGUUGUCCAGUUGCUUAAAAAUAGAAGUGCAAAAUCUGAAAUUGCCCGAACAAAUAUCCAGAUGAUUGGUGCUCUAAGUCGCUCGGUUGGAUACCGUUUUGGGCCACACCUUGCUGAAGUUGUUCCUUUGCUCAUAAACUAUUGUACAAGUGCAUCAGAAAAUGAUGAAGAGCUCUGUGAAUACAGCUUGCAGGCCCUCGAGAGUUUUAUGCUGAGGUGUCCAAGAGAUAUAUCUCCAUAUUGUGAGAGUAUUUUAAAUCUUGCAUUGGAAUAUAUAAGCUAUGAUCCUAAUUUCACCGAUAGUAUGGAGGAGGACACUGAUGAUGAGGCUCAGGAUGAGGAAGAUGAUGAUGAGAGCGCAAAUGAAUACACAGAUGAUGAGGAUGCAAGCUGGAAAGUCCGGAGGGCUUCAGCAAAGUGCUUAUAUGCAAUUAUAGUAUCUCGUCCUGAAAUGUUGUCUAAGAUGUAUCUGGAGGCUUGUCCAAAGUUAAUUGAAUGGUUUAGGGAAAGAGAGGAAAAUGUAAAGAUCGACAUCUUUAACACAUUUAUUGAGUUGUUACGCCAAACUGGUAACAUGACAAAAGGAUAAGGUGACAUUGAUGAGUCUAGCCCUAGAUGGUUGCUGAAACAAGAAGUACCUAAGGUUGUCAAAUCCAUCAAUAGGCAGUUGCGUGAAAAAUCAAUCAAGACAAAGGUUGGAGCAUUCUCUGUAUUGAAGGAGCUUGUUGUUGUACUGCCAGACUGUCUUGCUGAUCAUAUUGGGUCACUUGUUCCUGGGAUUGAGAACGCUUUGAAUGAUAAGUCAUCUACCUCCAACCUGAAGAUUGAAGCCCUUGUAUUUACAAGACUUGUUAUGGCUUCACAUUCCCCAGCUGUGUUUCAUCCAUACAUACAGGCUCUUUCUGGCCCAAUAUUGUCUGCUAUUGGAGACAGAUAUGACAAGGUCACCGCUGAGGCUUUAAGAGUCUGCGAAGAGCUAGUUCGUGUACUUCGUCCAAAUUCUGAGCCACACUCUCCAGAUUACAGGCCAUAUAUUGGUCCAAUCUAUAAGGCUAUCUUGGCCCGCUUGGCAAAUCAGGAUCAGGAUCAGGAUCAGGAAGUUAAAGAGUGUGCCAUAUCUUGCAUGAGCCUUGCGCUAUCCACGUUUGGUGAUGGUCUCCAAAGGGAACUGCCGGCAUGCCUUCCCGUUCUUGUUGAUAGAAUGGGUAAUGAAAUAACUAGACUUACAGCAGUUAAGGAGAUAGAACACAAUGGACAACCUUUAGGAUUAGUGAAAUCGCCAUCAUCAGUAGUAGAAUAGAAUGAGCAGUGGAUUCCUGCCCAACCUUGGGCCGAUGGGGAGAUUUAUCUGUAUUCUCCAGAUACACAUAGUUGGUCUUCUCAAGGCAUGAAGAUGAAAUUCUUUAUCAUGGAUGAAAAGUAUAAUAUGGAAGCCAAAGGGAUUUAUAAGAAGAUUGAUGAGUUGGUCAGCCUGGCUAAUCAUUCAAUGUUUCUGGCUCCAGUGUUUGCUUUGCAUGAUAAGAAGAUCGGUCGUAUUAUUCUGUGUUAUCCAAAAUUUGAUCAACUGCUUAAAGAUUGGCUGCCUGCUCAAGCCUUUUAAAGGCCGGUUUAUACCACCCAUAUGGAUGCAUCUUAUAAAAGAUGUCAUAUCUUACAUGAGCAACAUUGAUAACUUGGCUGCAAGCUUAGGAAGUAUUGACUCAUAUGUGUUGGAGACAAAGCCCGAGAGAAUAAAGGUCAUCCUUUUUCCUUUUGAGUCAAGAGAAGUAAAUUGGCGAAAAGAUUUUGCUACAUUUCUGAUAGAACAUCUUCGGAACAAAUGGAAAUCCACCAUGUUGGAUCACUUCAUCAACAUCUUACAAAAAGAUUUCAAAAUUGGGUACAUUCAACAUCAUCCGUUGUUGCAAGAUUUCAAUCAGCUUUCUAACAUGAUAAGGAUGACAUGGAAAGAAUCUAAGUAUUUAACUGUUGAGAGGAGAGUAUUGCUAUCUUCAACAUUAAAUGCUAUUAGGAACAACAUUCCAUGGACAUCAGUGACAACUAUGGAUGCUGUUGUGAAUGAAUACAUUUCUAAAGCAACAAAUGACUCCUUGGGCCUCUUUAUGGAAAUUAAGAAGAUAGCAGCACAUUACAUUGAAAACCGCCGAAAACUGAACAAAGAAAAAGGGAUAUGCAAUAGGAAACAGGUACAUCCAAUUGAGAUAAUCGAAGAAAUCUGGCCAGGUGCUAUUGAAGAAAUUUAUGAGCUUAGUUUAAAAUCUGAGUGGCUCAUGACUUGACUUGUGAAUGGUGAGAGUGAAAAUAUCAGUGCUGAAGGAUCUGGAGUACUCUGAAAAUCAUGAAUGGGUUAGUGUUGAAGGCGAUUAUGCAACAAUUGGGAUUUCAGAUCAUGCCCAGAUGCAAACACGUUCGGCAAGCUAGCGAGUUAAAUGGUGGGUUGGAAGAGCUCUACAGGAAAGAUGAGGCAGAACUAGCUCUACAGCAAAAGAUGAGGCAUAACUUGGUUGAACGUUUUUUUGUUUCUCUUUUUUUUGGGUGAGGGGAUCGCCUUUUGUUUCUAUUGCAUGCUAUGUAACGGUGGAGAGAAUCAUUAUCUUCACUAUUUGAAAAAUGAUUCUACAGAAGAUGAUUGUUUUUUAUGGCAGUGCUUGAAGGGCUCUGCUUCGUGGUAAAAAAGAACACUUGCGAAAUGUUGGAUCAUCCUUGAACCAUUUGAAACAGAUUUGUUUUUUUACUGCCUAAAAUCACUUGCAAAGUUCUUGAGCAAUUUA
Molecule: non-coding RNA, 3771 nt
Organism: Oryza sativa Japonica Group (Japanese rice)
Lineage: Eukaryota; Viridiplantae; Streptophyta; Magnoliopsida; Poales; Poaceae
Source: RefSeq, a predicted model, not a curated record